This 268-nucleotide ribosomal RNA is filed under the name uncultured bacterium. RNAcentral's name for it is "partial 16S ribosomal RNA". It matches the Rfam family "Bacterial small subunit ribosomal RNA", at positions 57 to 305 of the family's 1533-position model. The record is from RNAcentral.
GCAAGUCGCACGAGAACGCUUUAGCUUGCUAAAGCUAGUAAAGUGGCGCACGGGUGAGUAACGCGUGGGUAAUCUACCCUUGAAUUUGGGAUAACGUUGCGAAAGCGACGCUAAUACCGGAUAAUAUCUUUUUGAUUUUGGUUAUAAAGAUCAAAGGUGGCCUCUACAUGUAAGCUACUGUUUGGGGAUGAGCCCGCGUACCAUUAGUUAGUUGGUAGGGUAACGGCCUACCAAGGCAGCGAUGGUUAGCUGGUCUGAGAGGAUGAUC